UAGGGAAUAUUGCGCAAUGGGCGAAAGCCUGACGCAGCGACACCGUGUGUAGGAUGAAGAUCUUCGGAUCGUAAACUAUUGUCAGUUGAAGACGAAGGCAGUAGAGUUAAGAACUCGAAUGUUGACGGUAUUCAAUAAGGAAGUCUCGGCUAACUCCGUGCCAGCAGCCGCGGUAAUACGGAGGAGGCAAGCAUUGUCCGGAAUUAUUGGGCGUAAAGAACACGUAGGUGGUUUUUCAAGUCAUGUGUGAAAACUUUGGGCUUAACUCAAAGAUUGCAUAUGAUACUGACUAACUAGAGUACAGUAGAGGAAAGUGGAAUUCCUGGUGUAGCGGUGAAAUGCGCAGAUAUCAGGAAGAACACCAGUGGCGAAAGCGGCUUUCUGGACUGUUACUGACGCUGAGGUGUGAAAGCUAGGGGAGCGAACA
RNAcentral lists this ribosomal RNA (427 nucleotides) under uncultured prokaryote. RNAcentral describes it as "bacterial SSU rRNA". It matches the Rfam family "Bacterial small subunit ribosomal RNA", at positions 355 to 774 of the family's 1533-position model. The record is from RNAcentral.